AACGAACGCUGGCGGCAGGCUUAACACAUGCAAGUCGAACGCACCGCAAGGUGAGUGGCAGAGGGGUGAGGAACACGUGGGAACAUCCCCUUCAGUUCGGAAUAACUCAGGGAAACUUGAGCUAAUACCGGAUACGUCCGUGAGGAGAAAGAUUUAUCGCUGAAGGAAUGGCCCGCGUCUGAUUAGCUAGUUGGUGAGGUAACGGCUCACCAGGGCUACGAUCAGUAGCUGAUCUGAGAGGAUGAUCAGCCACAUUGGGACUGAGACACGGCCCAAACUCCUACGGGAGGCAGCAGUGGGGAAUAUUGGACAAUGGGCGCAAGCCUGAUCCAGCCAUGCCGCGUGAGUGAUGAAGGCCUUCGGGUUGUAAAGCUCUUUUGUCCGGGAAGAUAAUGACUGUACCGGAAGAAUAAGCCCCGGCAAACUUCGUGCCAGCCGCCGCCGUAA
This 447-nucleotide ribosomal RNA is filed under the name uncultured bacterium. Its description in RNAcentral is "partial 16S ribosomal RNA". It matches the Rfam family "Bacterial small subunit ribosomal RNA", at positions 29 to 523 of the family's 1533-position model. The record is from RNAcentral.